This 229-nucleotide ribosomal RNA is filed under the name uncultured cyanobacterium. Its description in RNAcentral is "partial 16S ribosomal RNA". It matches the Rfam family "Bacterial small subunit ribosomal RNA", at positions 470 to 698 of the family's 1533-position model. Lineage: Bacteria; Bacillati; Cyanobacteriota. The record is from RNAcentral.
UGACGGUACCUGAGGAAUCAGCAUCGGCUAACUCCGUGCCAGCAGCCGCGGUAAGACGGAGGAUGCAAGCGUUAUCCGGAAUGAUUGGGCGUAAAGCGUCCGCAGGUGGCAGUUCAAGUCUGCUGUCAAAGACCGGGGCUCAACCUCGGAAAGGCAGUGGAAACUGAACAGCUAGAGUAUGGUAGGGGCAAAGGGAAUUCCUGGUGUAGCGGUGAAAUGCGUAGAGAUC